UACGGGGGGGGCAAGCGUUGUUCGGAAUUACUGGGCGUAAAGGGUGCGUAGGCGGUUCGUUAAGUUAGAUGUGAAAACUCUGGGCUCAACCCAGAGCCUGCAUCUAAAACUGGCGGGCUAGAGUUCUGGAGGGGGUAGCGGAAUUCCUGGUGUAGCGGUGAAAUGCGUAGAUAUCAGGAGGAACACCGGUGGCGAAGGCGGCUACCUGGACAGAAACUGACGCUGAGGCACGAAAGCUAGGGGAG
This 245-nucleotide ribosomal RNA is filed under the name uncultured bacterium. RNAcentral's name for it is "partial 16S ribosomal RNA". It matches the Rfam family "Bacterial small subunit ribosomal RNA", at positions 524 to 768 of the family's 1533-position model. The record is from RNAcentral.